GCUGGUGCAGUAGGAGGACCAUGGCUGACUACAGGUCAUGAGAGAGCUACCCAAUAUAGAGGGAGAUAAAAUAUCACAUGUUAGAGAGAGCUGCCAGCUUUAGUGAUGAUUAGAGGCCUUGAAAGAGGUUAGGCAUGCCUGACUAAAUAGGUCCAAUUUUAGAGCUAGGAUUAUAUGUUCCAGGAUUACUUGACAUUAGGUAGGGAUCAGUGAAGAGAAAAAGGCAUUCAAGAUCGUUGACAGGAAUAGUCAGCCAGCUAGUACCACAAAAGGGAAUGACCAUUCAGAAUAUAGGAUGUUUUAGAGAAACUUGUGUCCUCAUUUGGAACGCUUAAAGAAGUUUAGUUAGGGAGACUCCGUGGUUAAGAAAAUGGACUCACGAUCCUGGCUUUACAUCCUGGCUCUACCAACCUCUUCUCAAGAUUGCUUGCUCAGAAGGAGAUUCUUCCCUUCUAAUGGGGAGCGCUAACAUCUAUCAUCCAUGUUCCUCCAAGAGGAUUGAUUGCUAAUGAAGAAACCCAGCAUCACAAGGCAAUAUGCUUCACCAUUGGUGUAAUAAGUUGCAACAGGGGUAUUACAUCCUGUGAUAUUGGUAAGUAUUACCAAAUUUAAAGCACUCAUAUGAAAGUGUAUCCAUUGAUCGACCCCAGGUCCACUGGAAUCUAUGGAGCAUACUCUAGACCUGAAACCAGGCUUCUCAGAAUUGGUGAGGAGAAAAGAGGAAGCAAAGAUUUGCAAAAUUGAGUAUAUAAUCCACUUCAUGUGACAGAGACCUAGUUUCAGAAUUUUGCCUCAUUUGAUAUGGUCUUUCCUUUGGCCUAUGUAGAGCCCUUUCAGUUUCUGCUCCGCGGGAUCUAAGUACUCAAACCUGAGUGUUAAGGCUUUUUUUUCACCAUCUUUGUAAUAAAUUUCACUUUCUACUAGACUGCUAUAUUGUUAUUUCCUUCUGACAAGACCACAGUAGGAUUCUGCUCCUGCAUUUGUGGACUAUGUGGUAAGGAGGUGCCCUUCAUGACCUCCAGAAGUAUUCACUAGAUUGUUCCAGUAAAGAGCCUUAGUUUCACCAGAGAGCCUUAGUUGUAUUUAUGUCAAAGGGAAAGCCUAUAGUUGGGUAAAAGAAUACAUUUGAAAUACACAUCUCUGACAUAGGGCUAGUAUCCAGAAUAUAUAGGAACUGCUAUAAAUAAAUAAGAGAAAGAAAAAUUUUCUAGUAGAAAAAUGUGCAAAACACAUGAACCAGACACAUCACA
Molecule: long non-coding RNA, 1250 nt
Organism: Acinonyx jubatus (cheetah)
Lineage: Eukaryota; Metazoa; Chordata; Mammalia; Carnivora; Felidae
Exons: 3
Source: RefSeq, a predicted model, not a curated record